GCUCUGCAUGAAUUACGUACCAGUGGGAGAAUUCAAAUACUCCCAACUUCCACUUGCGUUUAAAUGGUUUUAAGAUUUUUACAGCAAAGUUUAAGCACAAUAUCAAAACCUGUUCAGAAAUCACUUAAAAUAUAAUAAACCACUCCAGAAACCAUGCGCAAUAAACAAGAGAGACCAAAGCAUAGGAAGCGAAGCUGGCUGCUUGGCACUUGGCAGCGGCGGCGGCUGCUGUCACCGGCGUCCCGACGCAAUGCCUUCUGCGCCCGCCCGCCAUCGAAUCCACGCGCCUAGACUUCGCUUCUUCAGGGUUAUCCCAUGCGCCGCCGCUCGGUGGCUGCGCACAACGCCAAGCUUCCUCGCCAGAGUACACUGCUCGCUCGGCUCCAUCGGCUCCGGCCACCAUCCCGACGGCCCCUGGAAAUUCUCGUGCAUGACAAUUGCAAGGAGGUGGCGCACGAGGUGCUCGACGCUUUGCCUGCAAGGAGCACCGAGUGUUCCCUGCCUAUCUCGCUGCCCUACUGGCUUUCUCAUGUGCAGUAUUCUCUGUUCUUUCUCAUACAUCAGCGCAAAGACAUGAUCGCUACAGUUAUUUCUUCUCCACAUCAGGCAUCACUGAUGUAUUUCUGACCCUUUAAAGCAAUUUGUUUGAGGCAGGCUCAACAAACUUAAUUUCGAUUCCUUAGGGGCAUGGAGCUUGCAUUCUGCUGGAUCUAUGCUUUCGUGGUGGUUGGGCCGGCGUUCAAGCUCUCGAGGUACCGUUCGAUGAUGUCGAGGCCACAGAGCUCCUUGACGACAGGCAUCGUCGCUGGCACAUCCAUCCGGAAUGUGACGGUGGAGUUCGUGGGGCCGGUGCAUACCGAGAACUCUUUCCUGGCAGCCCUGAUGGCCUCCCUCAUCGCGCAGUGCACCGAGGACGCGAGAAGGAGCGGUGGCUCGCCCGAUGCUGGCUGACAAGGUCUGCAAGAAUGUUCAUGGGGAUGAAAAAUUAUGAGAAGAGGUUCACCUUUCGAAGAGAGGACACGCUUCUUGUCGCGGGCGCUGUUGAUGAGCUCGACAUUGAACUGCUUCGGGAUGGUGUCAACUGUGGGGAUCUUGUACGUCCAUGUGCUGUCGUGAAUGACCAUGCCGUCGGAGUUCGUCAUGUACUCCUCGUUUGUGAAGAAGCCCACUCCUUGGAUGAAUGCGCCUUCUACCUGAGUGAAUCAAGGGCAGUGUUCAGAGCAGCACAUUUCCAUUGGCGACGUUUCUGCAUGAGCAGCUUUUAUUUGGCGCUAACCUGGCCAAGAUCUACUGCUGGGUUCAGGCUCUGCCCACAGUCAUACAUGAUGUCGCUCCGUAGGAUUGUGGUUGCUCCUGUCAGGACAUCAAUCUCAACCUGUGACGAAAUUUCCAAUCAUGUGUCAGCAUUGAGCAAGAAUGUAGCUGCAGCCUCCAAUGGCUUUGGCUUCUUGAUUGCAUUUGCAGUGCUUUAUUGCAAUUGGGAGCAGGAAUACCUCACUGAUGCCAACUCCGUAGUUCAAGUAACUUUUGAACGUUGGAUCAGGGGUCCAGUAUGCAUGCGCUGAUAAGUUCACACUCGCCAUACUUGCCUGCAAAUGACGAACAAAUGCCAUGAACAAUUGACACAGUCAAAUAGUGAGUUGCUCACACUUAAUAAUUGCUACUGCUACCAAUUGCAGUAUAUCGAUGAUGGAAAGGAGGGAAGCAGAAGAUUCAAAUUACUGUAAUUCCUUGGCAUCUUUUGCAAUCAGGUUAACAGGAAUUCUACCGUUGUUUUCAUAAGGUUUAUACUCACCUGAGCAACCAAGGCACUCCAUUCCACUGUACCAGUCUUAGCCUCCAGACUCUCCUUUAUGGGAUUCAGUCUUUCAACAAGUUCAAUGCACGAUUGUCGAACAG
Long non-coding RNA from Panicum virgatum (switchgrass), 1899 nucleotides. RefSeq lists it as uncharacterized. The record is from RefSeq and is a predicted model, not a curated record. Lineage: Eukaryota; Viridiplantae; Streptophyta; Magnoliopsida; Poales; Poaceae. The transcript has 4 exons.